GAUGAAGAACGCAGCGAAAUGCGAUAAGUAAUGUGAAUUGCAGAAUUCAGUGAAUCAUCGAAUCUUUGAACGCACAUUGCGCCCCUUGGUAUUCCGGGGGGCAUGCCUGUUCGAGCGUCAUUUCAACCCUCAAGCUCUGCUUGGUAUUGGGCACCGUCCUUUGCGGGCGCGCCUCAAAGACCUCGGCGGUGGCGUCUUGCCUCAAGCGUAGUAGAAUACACCUCGCUUCGGAGCGUAAGGCGUCGCCCGCCGGACGAACCUUCUGAACUUUUCUCAAGGUUGACCUCGGAUCAGGUAGGGAUACCCGCUGAACUUAAGCAUAUCAAUAAGCGGGGA
This 336-nucleotide unclassified non-coding RNA is filed under the name soil metagenome. Its description in RNAcentral is "partial contains 5.8S ribosomal RNA, internal transcribed spacer 2, and large subunit ribosomal RNA". The stretch from base 1 to 120 matches the Rfam family "5.8S ribosomal RNA", at positions 35 to 154 of the family's 154-position model. The record is from RNAcentral.